RNAcentral lists this ribosomal RNA (495 nucleotides) under uncultured bacterium. Its description in RNAcentral is "partial 16S ribosomal RNA". It matches the Rfam family "Bacterial small subunit ribosomal RNA", at positions 28 to 507 of the family's 1533-position model. The record is from RNAcentral.
GACGAACGCUGGCGGCGUGCCUAAUACAUGCAAGUAGAACGCUGAAGGAGGAGCUUGCUUCUCUGGAUGAGUUGCGAACGGGUGAGUAACGCGUAGGUAACCUGCCUGGUAGCGGGGGAUAACUAUUGGAAACGAUAGCUAAUACCGCAUAAUAGUAGAUGUUGCAUGACAUUUGCUUAAAAGGUGCAAUUGCAUCACUACCAGAUGGACCUGCGUUGUAUUAGCUAGUUGGUGGGGUAACGGCUCACCAAGGCGACGAUACAUAGCCGACCUGAGAGGGUGAUCGGCCCAACUGGGACUGAGACACGGCCCAGACUCCUACGGGAGGCAGCAGUAGGGAAUCUUCGGCAAUGGACGGAAGUCUGACCGAGCAACGCCGCGUGAGUGAAGAAGGUUCUCGGAUCGUAAAGCUCUGUUGUAAGAGAAGAACGAGUGUGAGAGUGGAAAGUUCACACUGUGACGGUAUCUAACCAGAAAGGGACGGCUAACUACGUG